UACGUAGGGGGCUAGCGUUGUCCGGAAUCAUUGGGCGUAAAGAGCGUGUAAGCGGCUCGGUAAGUCCGCUGUGAAAGUCGGGGGCUCAACCCUCGGAUGCCGGUGGAUACUGUCGGGCUAGAGUACGGAAGAGGCGAGUGGAAUUCCUGGUGUAGCGGUGAAAUGCGCAGAUAUCAGGAGGAACACCUAUUGCGAAGGCAGCUCGCUGGGACGUUACUGACGCUGAGACGCGAAAGCGUGGGGAGCAAACAGG
This 253-nucleotide ribosomal RNA is filed under the name uncultured bacterium. RNAcentral describes it as "partial 16S ribosomal RNA". It matches the Rfam family "Bacterial small subunit ribosomal RNA", at positions 524 to 776 of the family's 1533-position model. The record is from RNAcentral.